UACAGAGGUCCCAAGCGUUGUUCGGAUUCAUUGGGCGUAAAGGGCUCGUAGGCGGUCUGUUGCGUCGGGAGUGAAAACUUACAGCUUAACUGUGAGCGUGCUUUCGAUACGGGCAGACUUGAGGCAUUCAGGGGAGAACGGAAUUCCUGGUGUAGCGGUGAAAUGCGCAGAUAUCAGGAGGAACACCGGUGGCGAAGGCGGUUCUCUGGACAGUUCCUGACGCUGAGGCACGAAGGCCAGGGGAGCAAACGGG
This 253-nucleotide ribosomal RNA is filed under the name uncultured bacterium. RNAcentral describes it as "partial 16S ribosomal RNA". It matches the Rfam family "Bacterial small subunit ribosomal RNA", at positions 524 to 776 of the family's 1533-position model. The record is from RNAcentral.